RNAcentral lists this ribosomal RNA (402 nucleotides) under bacterium. RNAcentral describes it as "partial 16S ribosomal RNA". It matches the Rfam family "Bacterial small subunit ribosomal RNA", at positions 355 to 776 of the family's 1533-position model. The record is from RNAcentral.
UGGGGAAUUUUGCACAAUGGGGGAAACCCUGAUGCAGCGACGCCGCGUGAUUUAGAAGGCCUUCGGGUUGUAAUAAUCUUUUUUACGGGAUGAAAAUGACAGUACCGUAAGAAUAAGGUCCGGUUAAUUCCGUGCCAGCAGCCGCGGUAAUACGUAUGGACCGAGCGUUGUCCGGAAUCAUUGGGCGUAAAGGGUACGUAGGCGGCCUAGUAAGUUAGAAGUGAAAUAAUAUAGCUCAACUAUAUAAAGCUUUUAAAACUGCUGGGCUUGAGAGAUGGAAGGGAAAGUGGAAUUCCUAGUGUAUGGGUGAGAUGCGCAGAUAUAAGGACGUAAACCUGUGGCGAAGGCGACUUUCUGGACAAAAUCUGACACUGAGAUACGAAAGCGUGGGUAGCAAACAGG